UUUCCGUAGGUGAACCAGCGGAAGGAUCAUUACAGAGUUCAUGCCCUCACGGGUAGAUCUCCCACCCUUGAAUAUUUAUACCUUAGUUGCUUUGGCAGGCCGUGGAAACACCAUGGGCUCCGGCUUAUGCGUGCCUGCCAGAGGAAACAAACUCUGUUUUUAGUGAUGUCUGAGUACUAUAUAAUAGUUAAGACUUUCAACAACGGAUCUCUUGGUUCUG
Molecule: unclassified non-coding RNA, 220 nt
Filed under: plant metagenome
Description: partial contains small subunit ribosomal RNA, internal transcribed spacer 1, and 5.8S ribosomal RNA
Source: RNAcentral